GAUGAACGCUGGCGGCGUGCCUAAUACAUGCAAGUCGAGCGAACGGACGAGAAGCUUGCUACUCUGAUGUUAGCGGCGGACGGGUGAGUAACACGUGGAUCACCUACCUAUAAGACUAGGAUAACUUCGGGAAACCGGAGCUAAUACCGGAUGAUAUUUUGAACCGCAUGGUUCAAAAGUGAAAGACGGUCUUGCUGUCACUUAUAGAUGUAUCCGCGCUGCAUUAGCUAGUUGGUAAGGUAACGGCUUACCAAGGCAACGAUGCAUAGCCGACCUGGGAGGGUGAUCGGCCACACUGGAACUGAGACACGGUCCAGACUCCUACGGGAGGCAGCAGUAGGGAAUCUGCCGCAAUGGGCGAAAGCCUGACGGAGCAACGCCGCGUGAGUGAUGAAGGUCUUCGGAGCGUAAAACUCUGUUAUUAGGGAAGAACAUAUGUGUAAGGAACUGUGCACAUCUGGACGGUACCUUAUCAGAGAGGCACGGCUAACUACGGG
RNAcentral lists this ribosomal RNA (497 nucleotides) under uncultured bacterium. Its description in RNAcentral is "partial 16S ribosomal RNA". It matches the Rfam family "Bacterial small subunit ribosomal RNA", at positions 28 to 507 of the family's 1533-position model. The record is from RNAcentral.